RNAcentral lists this ribosomal RNA (492 nucleotides) under uncultured bacterium. RNAcentral describes it as "partial 16S ribosomal RNA". It matches the Rfam family "Bacterial small subunit ribosomal RNA", at positions 29 to 507 of the family's 1533-position model. The record is from RNAcentral.
AGUGAACGCUGGCGGUAGGCCUAACACAUGCGAGUCGAACGGCAGCACAGUAAGAGCUUGCUCUUACGGGUGGCGAGUGGCGGACGGGUGAGGAAUACAUCGGAAUCUACUUUUUCGUGGGGGAUAACGUAGGGAAACUUACGCUAAUACCGCAUACGACCUACGGGUGAAAGCAGGGGAUCUUCGGACCUUGCGCGAUUGAAUGAGCCGAUGUCGGAUUAGCUAGUUGGCGGGGUAAAGGCCCACCAAGGCGACGAUCCGUAGCUGGUCUGAGAGGAUGAUCAGCCACACUGGAACUGAGACACGGUCCAGACUCCUACGGGAGGCAGCAGUGGGGAAUAUUGGACAAUGGGCGCAAGCCUGAUCCAGCCAUACCGCGUGGGUGAAGAAGACCUUCGGGUUGUAAAGCCCUUUUGUUGGGAAAGAAAAGCAGCAGGUUAAUACCCCGCUGUUCUGACAGUACCCAAAGAAUAAGCACCGGCUAACUUCGUG